UUCCCUUCUUCACCCGCGCCGAUCCCUGCUCGCGUCGUCGCCGCAUCUCCUUCCUCUUCCUCCUCGUUCUUCUCGACACCGAUCAACGCCUGAGCGUUGACAGCCGAACUUCUCUUCCUCUUCCCCGAGCUCAUGCCGACCCCUCCCCUUCUUCAUUGCGGCGCCGGCGACACUCGAGCCACCGUCGGUCGAGCUCCUUCUUCCUUUUCCUCGCGGACACCAGAAGCUCACCGCCAGACGUGCCCUAGCAUUAAGCCUUCUCCGGGCAUCUCCGCCUGAAGCCGCCAUCUGGAUCGGUGGCCCUUGCGAACAGCCAACCCUAGUGAGCUCCUAUCGACUGUCAAGCCGCUGAUUACUGCUAAGCCUUCUACCAUCGUUGAAGAGCUACCACCACUGGAGAUCAGGGCUCUAUCAGGCCAUCCCUUCGGGCAGCAAGGUCCAGUGAAUCAAUCAGGAAGCAUCUAAGGUUCAGGACUCUAAUUCGAGAUGAGCGUCUCGACGUCGUAUUUGGUUUGAUACGAUCUUCUUUUGAGGCGGGUACUUCUUACUUUGUCUCUUUAGUUCUUUGAAUUUGAUGCAUGAGCUAUGAUCCUGUAUGAGAAGCUUGACAAAACGGAGAGCUGGAAGAAAAAAUCUACUGCUAGUGAAGAAUAAUACCUAUGGAAUGCCGAUCUGAGAAACCCAAAGCGGAUCCAAGAAGAUGAAACCCCGGAUUGUCCUUCCAGUGCAAAGUAUCAAUGGCGAUAAAGAGAUCCGAUAGAAGAAAACCCAGAUUCGGAACUUCCAAGGCUUCCUGCGCACAAGAGACCGAUCAGCACGAUCGUCAGUGACCUAAGACCGGGGUGGGAAUCCUUGGCUAGGCCCUCCGACGCUCAAGUCAGUGAUCUCUUUCGGUGUG
This is a long non-coding RNA of Zingiber officinale, 898 nucleotides long. RefSeq lists it as uncharacterized. The transcript is spliced from 2 exons. The record is from RefSeq and is a predicted model, not a curated record. Lineage: Eukaryota; Viridiplantae; Streptophyta; Magnoliopsida; Zingiberales; Zingiberaceae.